AGGGAACAGUUCCAUUGUUACCAAAACAUCCACAAUAAAAACAACAAAAGGUACCAGUCAUAAACAUCAUUAAGAUGAAAAACGGAAGACGAACACUAGGAACUUGACACUGGAAACAUGACAACUAUUAAGGAGCACCGGAAGGGAGAGCCCUAGAGGCAGAGGAAGAGACAAAGGUUCUAAGAAGAUUGUUCAUACGAGCAUUUGCAGACCCUUGCUCGGUUAGCAACCUUUCCUUCAGGUCUUCAACUUGUCUCCUGAGAGCAGCAUUUUUCUUUGUCAGGCAGGCAACCUCUGUGUUUUGGGCAUUACUGGAACCAGCUGUCUCCUGGGUAUGACUGAACUGACCUUCGAGAAUGGCAUUCCGAGCCUUCAGCUUCCUUAUUUGUUCAGUGACACUGUUUUGAGCGUUGAUCAACUGAGAAAUGGUAGAAUUACUACCUACCCCUCCACUCCUAUUAAUGCACUCACACUCUUCAAAGAUGGUUUUGGAGAAAGAUUGCUUGCGAGUUCCUACGUAAUCUAAAAAUUGAUAGAACUGACCAAAAAAACAAAAAAGAAAUAGUGUAUCAAUUUUGGGAGAUGAAUUAUUCACCCACGUAUAGGCUAACCAUGAAUAUUUUACCUCAAUUGGACUCAGUAAAAAUCAUAUUGCUUCAGAUUUGGUUCCUAAAAAAUUGUUUUACCUCUUGAUUUGAUAGAACGGAACAUGAUUGAAAUCCCAUCGCCAAUCUAAAGAAUUCAAUUCCUUCAAAAUUGGGGAAAAAGAUACCAUGACAACCUUGAUUUGAUAGAUCUGGAAAUAAAAAGCUCCUAAAUUUCAAUCUUAUUUUCAGUGAAGAUGCAGUUGAAAUCUCAUGUCAAUCUAGAGAAGUCAUAUCAUUGGCUAGAAAGAUUAACCUAAUUGCCAAAACUAGGAGCAGAAAUACGUGUUAUUUGAAACUAGAGAUAAGACAACAUGCUGAAUUAUGACCAAAACCCCGUACCUACUACAGAAGUGAUCAGAUCCACCUUUCAGUCUGUUCUUGGAAGUUAAGCGAUAAACUAUUGAUAUAAUUGAUAUUUCUAUUAAAUGAACCAUGACUUCCACACAAAUGACCAUUUUCAGACUCGGGGAGGUAAGAAUUUUCAGAGCCGGAGAAGUAAGAACGCCCAUGAAAACAACAAGUUGAAUUUUGGACAUGUGAAAAGAAAUGGAAGGAGG
RNAcentral lists this long non-coding RNA (1204 nucleotides) under Nicotiana tabacum (common tobacco). Its description in RNAcentral is "long non-coding RNA (NTAB_LNC005810)". Lineage: Eukaryota; Viridiplantae; Streptophyta; Magnoliopsida; Solanales; Solanaceae. The record is from RNAcentral.